GGGGAAUAUUGGACAAUGGGCGAAAGCCUGAUCCAGCCAUGUCGCGUGUGUGAAGAAGGUCUUCGGAUUGUAAAGCACUUUAUGUUGGGAGGAAGGGCAGUAAGCUAAUACCUUGCUGUUUUGACGUUACCGACAGAAUAAGCACCGGCUAACUUCGUGCCAGCAGCCGCGGUAAUACGAAGGGUGCAAGCGUUAAUCGGAAUUACUGGGCGUAAAGCGCGCGUAGGUGGUUCGUUAAGUUGGAUGUGAAAGCCCCGGGCUCAACCUGGGAACUGCAUCCAAAACUGGCGAGCUAGAGUACGGUAGAGGGUGGUGGAAUUUCCUGUGUAGCGGUGAAAUGCGUAGAUAUAGGAAGGAACACCAGUGGCGAAGGCGACCACCUGGACUGAUACUGACACUGAGGUGCGAAAGCGUGGGGAGCAAA
Molecule: ribosomal RNA, 424 nt
Filed under: uncultured bacterium
Lineage: Bacteria
Description: bacterial SSU rRNA
Rfam family: Bacterial small subunit ribosomal RNA
Source: RNAcentral